GUGAUUACGAAUAAGAAUCCUGGAUAUUUUAUUCAAUUCAAUUCAUGACGUUUAUUUGUUGGUGAUUCUGUAUCGAGUAUUAACACCAGGAUUUAUAGCAGAUUAGAUCGUAUUCGAUGAAUCGGUAAGAGAUCAUCAACCUUUGUCCUUGUUCUCCAUCACUUCUUCGUCCAUGUUUUCAUGAACAGAAUCGAUGUGAUUUACAUCCACCUCGAUUACGAAAAUGGAGGCUGGCGGUGUUUCUUCAACGUGAUCGAUUUCCGCUGGAAGUAGCGGCAUCAAAGAAACAUCCACCUCCUGUUUGUCACUUUGCGAAGAACUAGAUCCGUUAGUGCUACAAAGUUCUUUCUCCCGAAUGGAAACGUUGCGAGGAGUCGAUGAUGAUCCUUUCAAUUUGACGGAAGAGAGAUCUUCUGAUAAAAUCUGAGUUUUAUUCAUCAAAACUUCGAGGAUGAUCGACUGCAGCUGUAGAAGAGCACCGAUAACGAGUGGAUCGCUAAGUUAAAUUAAAUGACGCUAUCUACCAGGGCCGACCCUGGACCUAGGCAGAUUAGACGGCCGCCUAUGGCUCCCCAUGGUCCAGGGCCCCCAUAAAAUGAUUUUGCGACUAAGAGUGCAAGAACAGUAAUGUUUAUUAAUAGAGAAAUUGGUAAUUUGGAAGCUGAUAAUCUGAAAAAUGGUGAUUGGGGAAUUGGUGAUUUGAGAAUUGAUAAUUUGGAAAAUGGUAAUUUAUGAAUUGCUAAUAGAGAAAUUGGUAUUCUUUUUUAUCUGAAGGGGCCCUUUUUCGGAGCUCGCCUCGGACUCCCGAAAUCUCAGGGUCGGCCCUGUUAUCUACCCCUGAAGUACAAGAAUAUUGUUCUUUUUCCCACAGUCGAAUGCUGUUCAAAGAAUUACCAAACCUUACCUGACGCAGUAAACUUGAUCUUUGCCCUCUGGCUGCAGGUGGACCUCCCAUUUGCCUUUGAUGUUGCCUCUGAGAACCCACCAAAGACCCACGAUCCUGUAUCACGCUGAUAACGCUGGAUUUCACGUCGCUAUGCGGGAAAAUCAGCCUCCACAUGAAGUUCUUCAACGCUGCACGAAAAUCUUUCAGAUGGUAGGCGUAAAGUAGCGGAUUACCAGCCGAGUUAAGGUGCGACAGGAUGAUGCAAAAGUUCAUCAGGAUAUCGUUCACCUUGCACCGUGGACAGAAGGCCAUGAUGCAAUUAAUGGUGUACAGAGGGAACCAGCAGAUGAUGAAGAAAAUUACAAUGCGAGAUAGAUUCUGCGUCGCUUUUACUUCCCGCUUCCUAGCUGCUCCGAGUAGACGCAACAUCGUACCUGUUGUCUGAUUUCCGGUCCUUCUACCCGGAUUCAUCGUUACAAUUUGUUGCAACUAUUAGAAAUAUAUAACACAGAGAUAUAGGACGAUUUUGAAAUGAGAAAAGUCUGGCAUAAUUUGACGGCAUAAAAGUAUAACAAAAUGACACUUAUGAUACACCAAUUUAAAGCUUAAAUUUUAAAGAUGAUUACAUAAGGGUUCUAUCAAUAUUCUCAACACAAAAUGGCUGAUUCUUUGUUGGAACAAACAAUUGGAUACUCCCUAAUGGACAGUUCUAACGAUAAGCUGUAAAUUGAUUGAUUCAUUGUUUUUGUUCUAAUAAAGUAUCAAUCAAUUUCUACUAAGAAUAUCGAUGAAAAGUUUAUGUAAUCAUUUCCAUUAAGCCUUAAGCUUGAAAUUGACAUGCUGUAAGUGUUAUUUUCUGAUACUUUUAUGUCAUCAAAUCUUGUCAGACUAUAAAUUGAAAUGGGAUGAAAGGAACACGUGUAUACUGAAUAGGAUGUACGACAUAGAAACAUGUUCCUUUCAUCCUACUUUAAAGUCCGUUUGAGAUGUUAACAGGUUUACAUAUAAUAAACCAUUAAUCCACGUAUCGAUGUGCGUUACAUAUGUAUUAAUUAAAAAGGGUAAAUUGCGACGUCUAGUAAACAUCAAGUGAUCUUCAUUAAUUCGUUAUCCUCUGUUUGCAUAUCGCAUAUGUAUAUGAUCGUGUAUUUACGGUUAAAAGUGUCUGACCUGCUUUACGACCACUCGGUAUAUAUGGGCGUAGAAGGCUGCAAUUAAUAGCGCGGGAAAGAUGAUCGUAGCGAAGUAGAGGAACACCAAGUAAUCGUAAUCCAUCACUUCGGUGAAGAUACAUUUCUGGUUUGACCUCUCGCCCGCGUUCCAGCCAAAAAGUGGCAGAAAACCGACCAGAGUGCCGGCGAUCCAGCACACGCAGAUUAUACCUAAAAAAAAAUAUGGAUCACGAUAGGGACAGUUCAAAAUUAAUUUUCUUUUUCUUCACGUCUGAUGGCUUCUGGAGGAAAUUAUAAACGUUUUGGAAGUCGGUCAAAGAAGUCGAUGAUAGGAAGUACACGUGAAUGUUAUCGAUUGGAUAGCUUGGCAAUAAACGCACCUUUUUCCCUCUUGAGUGAUGGUAUCAGUCAGCGGGAUCGUAAUUAAAAUCACUCGUGCCAUAAACAGGCGAAACGCUUGAAUUAAUCACGGCCAACCACCCUCAGAAAUGAGAAACGUUUGAAGAUCCCUGAAAAUUCCAAAGAGACACGGUUUUCUAUCAAUACUAUGACACGGCGGAAGAAAAGAAAGUCCUUUGGGAAAUCGAAUGUAAAGGGAAUUACGGCGUGUUUUUCAUACGAUACGCUCGCGUGGACAUCAUCCCGGAACAAACUUGAUAAUUUCUUAAUUCCUUUGUUAAUUACGAUAUUAAAAUCUUUUCUAUACCAGAAGCACCACCUGUUGCCAUCACUUCAGCCUUCCAGAGAAAUAUGCUAAAGCUUCUCUAUACAGAUAAAAGAAACAAAAGGAUCUAAAUAUUGAAUACAAAAGAUUUUCUGUAGUAUUACUAUUGAAUAGGAAACAUAAUCGACAACAACGGCUUCUGAGAGCGUCCACACAAUGUUGCUUAAUCAACAGUCUGAUGCCCUGUAUUCGUAGAACGUGAGGUACACUACUGCCAAGAAAUUUGGAAAUAUUUAAAUUGUUUUAAAAAAUAAUUAAAAGGUCGAGAUAGAUAAGUGAUUCUACAUUGUAUUCUUUUGUUUAAUUCUAAUACUGUUCUCUUCUAUAUUAAUAUACAGGUGAAAUAUAUAUUUUAUAUUAUACAAUGCAGUUGAAGUAUCUAUUUAAAUCUCUUUCUUUCCAAACUUUUUAACAGUAGUGUAAAUCCCUUAUCAGUGCGAUCACAGAAAAAAUUUUACUUGAACUACGAAACAUUGAAGAUAAUCAUCGAAUUUCUAUUGGAAUUUAUCCAAUAGUAAAUUACUAUAAUCCUGACGAGAAGAAUUAGUAUUUUCAGAAAUGAAUUAUUAAAGUUAUGCGAAUGUAACUCGUUCGAUUAAAAGUUUGCCUGAAAGUUGCGCCGAGCGUGUAACAGGUGCUUUCGAGAGCAAACAAUUCCGUAAAUUAUAAUUGCACGACUCGGAUCAAUAUUGCUUUACGGUUUGCUCGAUUAAAUGGUUACGUGUGUCGUGCAAAAUACUUCCGAGAAGACACGAUUUUAAUUGGAUCAUCGGAUUGCACUAGGCUACCCUGGAUUUAUAUAAUAAAAAUGAAGAAUAAUCUGAAGUUAUGAAUUAAAUGACCACUGCACCAUUUCUCCAAGGGUCCAAGUUUUAGUGCGUACGGUACGGGAAUAUCCCAUGGGAUGAAGUAUCGCCCAGUAACGAUCGACGGACACCGCGACGAGACAGAAGAUGCUGAUGGUGCAUAGAACGACCAGCACGGAUACCGUGAAUAAACAAGCGUG
Non-coding RNA from Osmia lignaria (orchard mason bee), 3788 nucleotides. NCBI's taxonomy places the organism in Eukaryota, Metazoa, Arthropoda, Insecta, Hymenoptera, Megachilidae. The record is from RefSeq and is a predicted model, not a curated record.